CCUUUGUUGAGUAAUCACCAGCACUGGACAAAGAGAUUCUGGACUUUGAGCCCAUGUUGUAAUGAAGUAAAGACUUUUAGAGACACUGCUAUUUUACAUAGAGGAGGGAUGGAAUUACUUGGAUUGAGAAAAUACAACCUUUGUGUCUCUC
Molecule: long non-coding RNA, 151 nt
Organism: Perognathus longimembris pacificus (Pacific pocket mouse)
Lineage: Eukaryota; Metazoa; Chordata; Mammalia; Rodentia; Heteromyidae
Exons: 3
Source: RefSeq, a predicted model, not a curated record